UCCUGAGUAGCUCAGAUGGUAGAGCGUUUGAAAAGAGCCAAAAAUGUAGAGCCUUUCAUUUGUCACCGGUUCGAAUCCGGUCUCAGGAGCAA
RNAcentral lists this transfer RNA (92 nucleotides) under Flavobacterium hydrophilum. RNAcentral's name for it is "Flavobacterium sp. IMCC34758 tRNA-Phe". It matches the Rfam family "tRNA". Rfam says of the family: Transfer RNA (tRNA) molecules are approximately 80 nucleotides in length. The record is from RNAcentral. Lineage: Bacteria; Pseudomonadati; Bacteroidota; Flavobacteriia; Flavobacteriales; Flavobacteriaceae.